CAGCCAGUCCUUCCUUUUCCAGGCUCCU
RNAcentral lists this non-coding RNA (28 nucleotides) under Rattus norvegicus (Norway rat). Lineage: Eukaryota; Metazoa; Chordata; Mammalia; Rodentia; Muridae. The record is from RNAcentral.